Molecule: non-coding RNA, 78 nt
Organism: Schistosoma haematobium
Lineage: Eukaryota; Metazoa; Platyhelminthes; Trematoda; Strigeidida; Schistosomatidae
Source: Rfam
AGCUUUCUGAAUUCGUAUCGAGAUUUCGUCAGACAUCAACCCACCAGGGCUGAUGUGACUUUCAAGAUAAGUAAAGUG